Molecule: ribosomal RNA, 324 nt
Filed under: uncultured eukaryote
Lineage: Eukaryota
Description: partial 18S ribosomal RNA
Rfam family: Eukaryotic small subunit ribosomal RNA
Source: RNAcentral
CCCUUAGACGUUCUGGGCCGCACGCGCGCUACACUGACGGAGUCAACGAGUUGUCCUGCAUCGGAAGGUGUGGGUAAUCUUUUGAAACUUCGUCGUGCUGGGGAUAGAUCUUUGCAAUUUUCGAUCUUGAACGAGGAAUUCCUAGUAAGCGUGAUUCAUCAGAUCGCGUUGAUUACGUCCCUGCCCUUUGUACACACCGCCCGUCGCUACUACCGAUUGAAUGGUUUAGUGAGGCCUCGGGACUGGCGCGCUCGAGUAGCAAUACACCUGCGCGCCGGGAACUUGGUCAAACUUGAUCAUUUAGAGGAAGUAAAAGUCGUAACA